AGAGCGAACGCUGGCGGCAUGCUUAACACAUGCAAGUCGCACGGUCGGAGCAAUCCGGCAGUGGCGGACGGGUGAGUAACGCGUAGGUAUCUAUCCGAGGGUGGGGGAUAACGCCGGGAAACUGGUGCUAAUACCGCAUGAUGACUGAGGUCCAAAGGUCGCAAGACCGCCCAUGGAGGAGCCUGCGUCCGAUUAGCUUGUUGGUGGGGUAAUGGCCUACCAAGGCGAUGAUCGGUAGCUGGUCUGAGAGGAUGAUCAGCCACACUGGGACUGAGACACGGCCCAGACUCCUACGGAGGCAGCAGUGGGGAAUAUUGGACAAUGGGCGAAAGCCUGAUCCAGCAAUGCCGCGUGGAUGAAGAAGGUCUUCGGAUUGUAAAGUCCUUUCGGCGGGGACGAUGAUGACGGUACCCGCAGAAGAAGCCCGGCUAACUUCGUGCCAGCAGCCGC
This 450-nucleotide ribosomal RNA is filed under the name uncultured bacterium. RNAcentral describes it as "SSU rRNA". It matches the Rfam family "Bacterial small subunit ribosomal RNA", at positions 26 to 518 of the family's 1533-position model. The record is from RNAcentral.